Molecule: ribosomal RNA, 253 nt
Filed under: uncultured bacterium
Lineage: Bacteria
Description: partial 16S ribosomal RNA
Rfam family: Bacterial small subunit ribosomal RNA
Source: RNAcentral
GACGAACCGAGCGAACGUUAUUCGGAAUCACUGGGCGUAAAGCGUGCGUAGGCGGUUCUCCAAGUCCGUUGUGAAAGCCCCGGGCUCAACCUGGGAAUGGCAGUGGAAACUAGGGGACUGGAAUCUGGCAGAGGGGGGUGGAAUGCCGCGUGUAGCAGUGAAAUGCGUAGAGAUGCGGCGGAACACCGAUGGCGAAGGCAGCCCCCUGGGCUGAGAUUGACGCUCAGGCACGAAAGCGUGGGGAGCAAACAGG